Molecule: long non-coding RNA, 573 nt
Organism: Mercenaria mercenaria
Lineage: Eukaryota; Metazoa; Mollusca; Bivalvia; Venerida; Veneridae
Exons: 3
Source: RefSeq, a predicted model, not a curated record
UUGUGAGUAAAUUUGACCUUGAGGACCUGUCCUUCACACAUUUCAGUUACUUAAUAGCAAACAGGAAGUAUCAGUUGCCGGACGGUUCGUUCAGGAAACAGAAAAAAGGAUAUGAGUAAGUACAUGUUGCAGCACUAACCACAACCCUUCGAUUCAGAUGAGAGACUGAAGUGAUAUAGUAUGAAGGUUGAGGAGUUGACGGGGGCUCUCAGGUGACCAAGGAACGGAUAAAUGCCACACAGAUCGUGUGCACGACGGAGAAGUGGGAUAUCAUCACUAGGAAAGGAGGGGAGAGAACUUGUACACAACUUGUCAGAUUAAUGAUCUUUAAACAUGGAAACUACACAAGAAGAUGUACAACUUGUUGGUCUCAGUGCCACACUACCAAACUACAAGGAUGUAGCGACCUUCCUGCACUUGGAACCCUCUGGAGGUCAGCUCUUUUCUGACACGAGUUUCCGACCUGUACCACUAGAACAACAGUUUAUCAAAAUAAUAGUGUGGAAACCGGUGAAGAGGUUUGAGAUAAUGAAUGAGGUUGUAUAUGAAAAGGUUAUGGAGCAUGCAGGCAAU